AUUGCCUCAACUUCACGCACAAUACGCAAGUGGCUGCGGUUUCUUGUGCUUUUGAAUGCCAUCCGCUCCAGUAAAUGUGUGGCCCCUAAUGAGGCUGGAGACUCAUAUACUGAACCACAGUUAACAUACAACCCUAUUGACGCUGCAGGAUUCGGUGAUGUUUCAGAGCCAACUUUCAUCCCAUUUGGGAGAGUCGUAAUCUUGGUUUUUCCAGGUUCAACAUAAUCAGGCAAUGUGGGUGGAAGUUCAACUCCUGGAAAGGGGAAGUCCAGAGGAGGCAAAGACUUGGACUUGUCACCAGUUAGCCAGCUGAAGAGACCACCCAAAGAGGAUGAUUGCAAGGAAGCAGCACUUGAACUUGUAAAUCUUGAAGGCAACCUACUGAUUCU
RNAcentral lists this unclassified non-coding RNA (389 nucleotides) under Hevea brasiliensis (rubber tree). The record is from RNAcentral. Lineage: Eukaryota; Viridiplantae; Streptophyta; Magnoliopsida; Malpighiales; Euphorbiaceae.